UAAAAUUGAGUUACCUCGAGAAAAAUUAGCUUUCUACUAUAGGAAGAUUGAAAAUGCAGAAAGAGUUGUUUUGCAGUUUAAAGAUUUUUAAGAUCCAAAUUAAUGUAUUUAUUGUUUCUUUCUAUUUUGUUGUUUUGUGUCAUUCUAAAUGUUGACGUUAGGAGAAAGAGAAAGAAAUGGUGGCAAAUGGCAAUGACAAUCGAUGCAAAGGAGGAGGAGGCGGAGCGCAGGUGCUGUGGUGGUGGAGUUGGGUAAGGUGGAAAUUAUUCUGGAUUUAGGUGUCGCUUUUUGCUGAAGUUUCAAAACCAAUGACAUUUUCGUCUACUCCGUUAUAUAAUUUAAAUGUCAAGAAAGGAAAUUUUGGUGAGAUUGAAAUCACCGGGAUUUUCAAACCCAUUUUAUGUUAAUUUAAAUCUAAUUAUAAUCAUGAUAAAUAUCUUUUAGAUUAUGGUUGUGAUAAUUUGGGACCAAAAAAGUUAAAAAGUGAUUAGACCAAGUUACCCAUACGGAAAAUAAAUAAUGACAAAGGAGUCUGUAUUCUUUUGGUAGAAGCAACAGCUUAGCUGUAUGCGAUGUUUGGAAAGUAAUGUUUUUGUGUUUUUGUGUUUUGUAUGUGUUACUAUGGACCACCGUCACUACAGCUCAUAAGGCUUAAUUCUAUACGGGUCUGUUACCAUGCUCCGCCGCUGCAUCUGCUCUCAUGCAUCACCUCUAAUAUUUCGCUUUGUCUGCGCUUGGAACACGUAAUUUAGUGUUGCUAUUUGAUUUCAUCAUACACAAAUUAGCCCAUAUAACAAAUAUAUUAUAUAAAUAAAUUAUGGGUGCUUGUUUGUCAUACACUAUGUGAAUUAUUGUUAGUUUGGGAUAUAGGCUUGAUUAAAUGCUGACCCCUAAUCUUUGGUAGGGGUACACUAUCAAUGUGGGUUAACUUUGCCUAGAAAUAUAGACCCCGUGGUGACUCCAUUUUUCAACUCCAAGCCAACUCCUUUUGUCGACGUCUAAUGUCAACAGGUUUAACGUAUUAUCGGCUUUAUGAAUUUCCUGGAUGAUCACAAUUGUUGCGGGCGAUUACAACGCACCAAUUUAGCUAGAGCCCGUGACAAGAGGCUUGUAUCGGUGGCGGUUGUGUUUCUCCAUCCAUUUUUCUCCUAGAAUUAGAAAUUUGUCUCAGGUAGGCCUUGACUUUUUUUUUAAUUGUAUUUAUUUGGGUUUAAUUUUAAUUUAAAGGGAGGUAUCCACUUACAUUGGUUUGGUUUAAAAGUUAAGUGGAUUUAUAUCUUUUUUAUUACUUUUUAUACAAAAAAUAUUUUAACGAUUCAACAAUUGAAUUUAUUAAGAUAUUUGUACUUGGUAUGCAUGUAAUUUUUUUAAUCAAUUAG
This 1379-nucleotide long non-coding RNA is filed under the name Gossypium barbadense (sea-island cotton). Its description in RNAcentral is "long non-coding RNA (GBAR_LNC016141)". The record is from RNAcentral. Lineage: Eukaryota; Viridiplantae; Streptophyta; Magnoliopsida; Malvales; Malvaceae.